ACACGACUACAUUAGAUACCCGGGUAGUCCUAGGCGUAAAUGAUGUGAGUUAAGUNUGGGGGCAUCUACGAGAUGGCCCUGUGCUGUAGGGUAGCCGUUAAACUCGCUGCCUGGGGAGUACGGUCGCAAGGCUGAAACUUAAAGGAAUUGGCGGGGAGCACCACGAGAGGUGGAGGCUGCGGUUCAAUUGGACUCAACGCCGGAAACUCAUCGGGAGCGACAGCAGUAUGAUUGCCAGGUUGAUGACCUUGCUUGACAAGCUG
Molecule: ribosomal RNA, 263 nt
Filed under: uncultured archaeon
Lineage: Archaea
Description: partial 16S ribosomal RNA
Rfam family: Archaeal small subunit ribosomal RNA
Source: RNAcentral